UACGUAGGUGUCAAGCGUUGUCCGGAUUUAUUGGGCGUAAAGAGCUCGUAGGCGGCUUGUCGCGUCAACUGUGAAAACCCGUGGCUCAACCAUGUGGUCUGCAGUCGAUACGGGCAGGCUAGAAUUCGGUAGGGGAGACUGGAAUUCCUGGUGUAGCGGUGAAAUGCGCAGAUAUCAGGAGGAGCACCGGUGGCGAAGGCGGGUCUCUGGGCCGAUAUUGACGCUGAGGAGCGAAAGCGUGGGGAGCGAACAGG
Molecule: ribosomal RNA, 254 nt
Filed under: uncultured bacterium
Lineage: Bacteria
Description: partial 16S ribosomal RNA
Rfam family: Bacterial small subunit ribosomal RNA
Source: RNAcentral